This 484-nucleotide ribosomal RNA is filed under the name Ochetostoma sp. RG-2012-2. RNAcentral describes it as "partial 16S rRNA". It matches the Rfam family "Bacterial large subunit ribosomal RNA", at positions 1829 to 2597 of the family's 2925-position model. The record is from RNAcentral. Lineage: Eukaryota; Metazoa; Annelida; Polychaeta; Echiuroidea; Thalassematidae.
UGCCUGAUGCACCACAUAUUAGGUACCUCCUGCCCAAUGACUUAACUGUUAAAUGGCCGCAAUUUCGUGCUAAGGUAGCAAAAUAAUUUGUCGUCUAAUUAACGGCUUGUAUGAAUGGACCCACGUUAGGUCAGCUGUCUCCUUUGGGAUCACGAAAAUUAACCUUCGAGGUGAACAGGCCUCUAUGUUAUCAAAAGACAAAAAGACCCUAUGGUGCUUUAGAGCUACAUCACUAAUGUGAGCCUACAUAGAAAGUGAUCUAACCUCUUUUGUUGGGGAGACAUCUGCAUCCAGAAUACCAGAGACCCCUUUAAGACAUGAGCCUCUGCUCUAUUCAAUUUACAGAAGCAACCCUAGGGAUAACAGGCUAAUCCCCCAUGAGAGUACGCAUCGGCUGGGGGGCUUGGCACCUCGAUGUUGGCUUAUAGGACUCCCUAUGGUCGCAGACGCCUAGGAGAGGGGUUUGUUCAACCUUUAAACCUAU